Molecule: non-coding RNA, 240 nt
Filed under: Carnobacterium sp.
Lineage: Bacteria; Bacillati; Bacillota; Bacilli; Lactobacillales; Carnobacteriaceae
Description: T-box sequence
Rfam family: T-box leader
About the family: Uncharged tRNA acts as the effector for transcription antitermination of genes in the T-box leader family. T-boxes are found upstream of many aminoacyl-tRNA synthetase genes and some amino acid biosynthetic genes usually in Gram-positive bacteria.
Source: RNAcentral
UUAAAAAUGAUGAUGGAAAAAAGUAAUUUGGACAGGUCUAAACAAGAGAACAAAUGCCAUAGGUUGAGAGCAUUUGUCUAGACAACCAGAUGAACGUUCACUUCCUGAAUUGACUUUGGGAAUUACUGUUAAGGUAAUGAAAAAAGUUCCGGUAUACGCCGUUAUGUAAAUCAAGUGUGGAUUUGUUUUUUUAUGAAUCUAAACAAGGGUGGUACCGCGAAUCGAAGCCUCGUCCCUUUU